RNAcentral lists this long non-coding RNA (1726 nucleotides) under Malus domestica (apple). RNAcentral's name for it is "long non-coding RNA (MDOM_LNC017121)". The record is from RNAcentral. Lineage: Eukaryota; Viridiplantae; Streptophyta; Magnoliopsida; Rosales; Rosaceae.
CUAUAAUAAUUAUUAAUUAAUAUGCAUCCAUUAAUUCCAUAAUUCCAUUCCAUUCCUACCGCACCCUUUGAAGAAAAAUGGAGGGAAAAUGAAAAUUAUAAGAAAAGCUGAAAAUGAAACAAAAAAAAAGAGAGGGAAGAAUGGGUAGGCUGCUGCCCUUUGAAGAAAAAGAAGGAAGGGAAAAAUGAAAAUUAUAAGAAAAGCUGAAAAGGAAACAAAAAAGAGAGGGAAAAAUGAAAAUUAAUAAAAGUGGUGAGAAAUUUUUUUUUUUUUUAUGUUAUUAACUUUUUAUCACACAUAUGACAUAUCCCACUAUUUUUAUAAUGACACGUGAUGUACUACUCCGUGUACCGGUCAAUUAUACGUACAAAAUAAAUAGAUUUAAAUCUACUUAAUAUAUAUAUAUACCAUUGAACUUGAUGGGAUACGGAACUUGUUUUUAUAUGCUUCGAGAUCGUAUCAGCAAAAAAUCGCAAAAAACAAACAUUCAGAUAUCAAGUAACCGAACAAAACUUUUCGAUGGUUAUAAAACGAAAAAUCACGAUUUAAAGGUUAUUUUAACUCCGAUUUUGAUUAUUUUUUAUAGCUACACUCAUUAAUCCUACAUGAAUACAAUGAAUGAAUUCGAUCUUCACUUUAAAAUAUUUACACUAGUGGAUACCACAAAAUCUUAUGUAUACUUAAUGAAAGUAUGAAUAAACUCUUAAGUAUUAGUGAAUCUAUUGUUUUGAUGAGAUACUCAUUCUACGAAAUUAGUUUCAAUGAUUCAACUGUCAAAAAUGUUUGUAUAUACUUCGAGAUCGCAUACGCCAAAAAUUACAAAAAACAAACAUUCAGAGAUAAAGUAACGGGACAAAACUUUUCGACGGUUAUAAACGAAAAAUCACGAUUUAACGGUUAUUUUAACUCCGAUUUUGAUGAUUUUUUACAGCUACACUCCUUGACCCUAAAUGAAUAUAAUGAAUGAAUUCAAUCUUCAAUUUAAAAUAUUUACACUAGUGGAUACCACAAAAUCUUAUGUUAUACUUAAUGAAAGUAUGAAUAAACUCUUAAGUAUUAGUGAAUCUAUUGUUUUGAUGGGAUACUCAUUCUACGAAACUAGUUUCAAUGAUCCAACUGUCAAAUAUGUUUGUAUAUACUUCGAGAUCGCAUACGCCAAAAAUUGCAAAAAACGAACAUUCAGAGAUAAAGUAACGGGACAAAACUUUUCGACGGUUAUAAAAAGAAAAAUCACGAUUUAACGGUCAUUUUAACUCCGAUUUUGAUGAUUUUUUUACAGCUACACUCCUUGACCCUAUAUGAAUGAAUUCGAUCUUCAAUUUAAAAUAUUUACACUAGUGGAUACAAAAAAAUCUUAUGUUAUACUUAAUGAAAGUAUGAAUAAACUUUUAAUUGUUAGUGAAUCUAUUGUUUUGAUAAGAUACACGCAUUCUACGAAGCUAGUUUCAACGAUCCAACCGUCAAACAUGUUUGUAUAUACUUCGAGAUCGCAUACGCCAAAAAUUGCAAAAAACAAACAUUCAAAGAUUAAGUAAUGGGACAAAACUUUUCGACGGUUAUAAAACGAAAAAUCACGAUUUAACGGUUAUUUUAACUCCGAUUUUGAUGAUUUUUUUACAGCUAUAGUCCUUGACCCUAUAUGAAUACAAAGAAUGAAUUCGAUCUUCAAUUUAAAAUAUUUACACUAGUGGAUAUCAUAAAAUCUUAUGUUAUACUUAAUAAAAGU